UCUCUGACACAUAUGUUCAUAACUUGAUUUUCUUUGUUUUUUGUUCCAGAUUUUUUUUUGGUUGUUACGAAAGCAUCUUCUUUGAUUUUUCUUAGUCUUUUAUUCAACAUUUUUUCCUUCUGAAUGCUAAAGGAAAGAGAAGAAGUGAGCAAUAUGGAUGGUCGACACGUGUUCCACAAGAGGUGACUAGAGGGAUGGUUUAGUUCUUGUUCACUUGAUUUGGUAUUGUCUUGUCAUUGUUUUAGAUUGAUAUUAUCACCGGAGGAAAGAGCAAGAAGACCAAAAGACAGCUUCAAAGUUCGAUGAUGUCUACCUGAAGAUUUCUGUUAAGGUAAUACUAUGGGGUAUCUAUUACAUCAUUGUGUUUGUUCCAUUAGUUGAAUCUCCAUGACUUGUUGUCUGAAUAGUAUGUCACAAUGAAUUAACUUGGCAGAUAUACAAAUGGUAAGGAGAACUGACAUCAAGUUCGAUGUUGUGAUUUUUAAGAGAAUUUUCAUGAGCAAAGUCAACAAAGCCCCUCUUACAUGUGCUAAGAUGGUUUCUGGUUAUCAGUCAAGAUAUCCGUCUGUUCCCUAAACAUCAAGUUAUUUUUGUUGCUAUCCAGUUGCUCAAAGUGCAAGACAUUGUUUCUUGUAUUUUAUUAGAUUGUGUAAUGAAGAUGUUUUUAAGUUAUGAUCUACUAAAUGGUUAUCCUCUGCAUCCUAUCUUGGUGCUGCAGUUUAGGUAAA
Molecule: long non-coding RNA, 728 nt
Organism: Brassica oleracea var. oleracea
Lineage: Eukaryota; Viridiplantae; Streptophyta; Magnoliopsida; Brassicales; Brassicaceae
Exons: 2
Source: RefSeq, a predicted model, not a curated record